This 157-nucleotide non-coding RNA is filed under the name unclassified sequences. RNAcentral's name for it is "OTKONC RNA". It matches the Rfam family "OTKONC RNA". The record is from Rfam by way of RNAcentral.
AUAUUAGAUUUAUAUUAUAUUAAUAAUAAAUAGAAUAAAGCUCUAAGGAGCGACUUCGUAAAAUGUUAAAUCGUAUACGAUCCUUUUCGAGACCUCGCAGAAAAUUUCUCAAGAAAGAUUAACAGCAUUUUAAAAUGGGGUUACUUUGUUUAUGAUU